RNAcentral lists this ribosomal RNA (253 nucleotides) under uncultured bacterium. RNAcentral's name for it is "partial 16S ribosomal RNA". It matches the Rfam family "Bacterial small subunit ribosomal RNA", at positions 524 to 776 of the family's 1533-position model. The record is from RNAcentral.
UACGAAGGGGGCUAGCGUUGUUCGGAUUUACUGGGCGUAAAGCGCACGUAGGCGGACUAUUAAGUCAGGGGUGAAAUCCCGGGGCUCAACCCCGGAACUGCCUUUGAUACUGGUAGUCUUGAGUUCGAGAGAGGUGAGUGGAAUUCCGAGUGUAGAGGUGAAAUUCGUAGAUAUUCGCAAGAACACCAGUGGCGAAGGCGGCUCACUGGCCCGGUACUGACGCUGAGGUGCGAAAGCGUGGGGAGCAAACAGG